Molecule: ribosomal RNA, 551 nt
Filed under: uncultured archaeon
Lineage: Archaea
Description: bacterial SSU rRNA
Rfam family: Archaeal small subunit ribosomal RNA
Source: RNAcentral
CGGGGUGCAGCAGGCGCGAAAACUUCACAAUGGGAGAAAUCCCGAUGAGGGAAUUCCAAGUGCUAGCACUAUGUGUUAGCUGUUCUUUUGUCUAAAAAACAGAAGAAGUAAGGGCCGGGUAAGACGGGUGCCAGCCGCCGCGGUAAUACCCGCGGCCCGAGUGGUGGUCGAUAUUAUUGAGCCUAAAACGUCCGUAGCCGGUCUUGUAAAUCCUUGGGUAAAUCGGCCAGCUUAACUGUCCGAAGUCCGGGGAGACUGCAAGACUUGGGAUCGGGAGAGGUCAGAGGUACUUCUGGGGUAGGGGUAAAAUCCUGUAAUCCUGGAAGGACCACCGGUGGCGAAGGCGUCUGACUAGAACGAAUUCGACGGUGAGGGACGAAGCCCUGGGGCGCAGACGGGAUUAGAUACCCCGGUAGUCCAGGGUGUAAACGCUGCGGGCUUGGUGUUGGGGGUCCUUUGUGGGCGCCCAGUGCCGGAGAGAAGUUGUUAAGCCUGCUGCUUGGGGAGUACGUCCGCAAGGAUGAAACUUAAAGGAAUUGGCGGGGGAGCAC